UUCCCAUUCUUUUUGCGUUCAUCAGUCACAUGGGAACGAGCACAAUGUGUGGUCAUUAUGUCUGCCACAUCAAGAAGGACCAACAGUGGGUAAUCUUUAAUGAUCAGAAAGUUUGUGCCUCUGAGAAACCACCUAAGGACCUUGGCUACCUGUACUUUUACAGAAGAGUGGUUGAAUAGAGUAAACUAGAAUAGCAUUUCCCUCACACACACACACACACACACACACACACACUCCUCUGUAUCUGAUCUACUGAAACAGUAGGGCCAGACUCCUGCUUCUAAACUGACACACCAUUUCAAAGCACUUCUCAGUCAAAUAUAUUCACUACCAAGAGAACUGUAAUGAAGACAGAAGGGGAAAAAAUGAGAUGUAAAAUGUGAAGAUUAGUGUUCUUACUCAAAACGCCUUGUUGUACAACGCCUUACCACACACACACACACACACACACACUCUCUAGUCUCUUUUGUGCCUCCCCCUGAUUGGAUAGUGGCUAUUGUGACAUCAUCGCUUUUAGAGCUAAGCUCCUCCUUCCUUUGUUUCAGAAUGUUCUUGCAAAUGUUUAAUGGCAAGUAAAUGUCACUAAAUCACAAAAAA
Long non-coding RNA from Carassius carassius (crucian carp), 597 nucleotides. RefSeq lists it as uncharacterized. The transcript is spliced from 2 exons. The record is from RefSeq and is a predicted model, not a curated record. NCBI's taxonomy places the organism in Eukaryota, Metazoa, Chordata, Actinopteri, Cypriniformes, Cyprinidae.